This 780-nucleotide ribosomal RNA is filed under the name Bacillus pumilus. Its description in RNAcentral is "bacterial SSU rRNA". It matches the Rfam family "Bacterial small subunit ribosomal RNA", at positions 31 to 799 of the family's 1533-position model. Lineage: Bacteria; Bacillati; Bacillota; Bacilli; Caryophanales; Bacillaceae. The record is from RNAcentral.
GGACGGGGGUGCCUAUAAUGCAAGUCGAGCGGACAGAAAGGGACUUGGUCCCUUAUGUUUUCGCCGCCACAGGGGUGUAUCACAUGUGUAACCUGUAUGUUAUACUGGGAUAUCUCCCCGAAAACCCAGCUCUUACCCGAUAUAUUCUGGUACCCCUCGGGUUGGAGCUGUGAAACAGUUUCUGCGGUGACUUACUAAUGUGCCCCCGCCGCAUUAUAUAUAUGUUGAGGUAACACCUCACCCCAGCGACAAUAUGCAUACCACAUCAGAGGGGGAUCUCCCACACUGUGACUCAGACACAGCCCCCACACUUACAGGAGGCGCCACUAUGGAAUCUUCUCCACUGUGCGAAAAUCUGAGAGAGCACCACCCCGCGAGUGAGAAAAGUUUUUUGAUAUCAAAAAUCUGUUGUGUGGGGAAAAAACAUGUACAAGUAACUCUGUGUGCCUUUUCAGUACCCCUUAUUAAAACCCCACCUAACUACAUGUCCCCACCCCCGCUAAUAUACAUGUGGGGAGCGUUUUCCCGAAUUUUUGUGCGUAUAAAGCGCGCACGCGGUGUCUUUUAUCUGAGAUGAAAAACCCCGGCUCAACCCCGGAGGGUCAUUUUGAACUGUGGGACUUUUGUGUGCAAAAGAAGAGUGUAAUUUUCCAUGUGUCGCUGAAAAGUGUAUAGAUAUGUAGAAAAACCCCUGUGGAAAGCGACACUCUGGGCUGUGACUCAGACUCAGAAGCGAAAACGCGUGGAGAGCACACGAUUAUAUAUACCCGUUGUUCUACA